AUACGGAGGGUGCGAGCGUUACUCGGAGUCACUGGGCGUAAAGCGUCCGUAGGCGGUCGGGUAAGUCGGGUGUGAAGGCCCCGGGCUCAACCUGGGAAGUGCACCCGAUACUGCUCGACUCGAGUGCGGGAGAGGAUGGCGGAAUUCCCGGUGUAGCGGUGAAAUGCGUAGAGAUCGGGAGGAACACCAGUGGCGAAGGCGGCCAUCUGGCCCGCAACUGACGCUGAGGGACGAAAGCGUGGGGAGCAAACAGGAUUAGAAACCCUAGUAGUCC
This 274-nucleotide ribosomal RNA is filed under the name uncultured bacterium. RNAcentral describes it as "partial 16S ribosomal RNA". It matches the Rfam family "Bacterial small subunit ribosomal RNA", at positions 523 to 796 of the family's 1533-position model. The record is from RNAcentral.